RNAcentral lists this ribosomal RNA (433 nucleotides) under uncultured bacterium. RNAcentral describes it as "partial 16S ribosomal RNA". It matches the Rfam family "Bacterial small subunit ribosomal RNA", at positions 29 to 507 of the family's 1533-position model. The record is from RNAcentral.
AACGAACGCUGGCGGCAUGCCUAACACAUGCAAGUCGAACGAGACCUUCGGGUCUAGUGGCGCACGGGUGCGUAACGCGUGGGAACCUGCCCUUAGGUUCGGAAUAACUCCCCGAAAGGGGUGCUAAUACCGGAUAAUGUCUUCGGACCAAAGAUUUAUCGCCUUUGGAUGGGCCCGCGUUGGAUUAGCUAGUUGGUAGGGUAAAAGCCUACCAAGGCGACGAUCCAUAGCUGGUCUGAGAGGAUGAUCAGCCACACUGGGACUGAGACACGGCCCAGACUCCUACGGGAGGCAGCAGUGGGGAAUAUUGGACAAUGGGCGAAAGCCUGAUCCAGCAAUGCCGCGUGAGUGAUGAAGGCCUUAGGGUUGUAAAGCUCUUUUACCCGGGAUGAUAAUGACAGUACCGGGAGAAUAAGCACCGGCUAACUCCGUG